CUCUCUCUCUCUUUCUCGAAAGAUCUCUCUCGACGAAAGGCGAUUUGCCGUCUCCUUGAUCUUGUCGUCUCCGUCGGUGUACCUUAUCGGCGACGCCUCUUUCUCUGUCUCGCUCUCUCUCGGUGGUUCUCUGUCUCGGUAGUUCUCGCUCUCUCUAUCUCUCUCUCUCGGUGGUUCUCGGCUUCUCUCUCUCUCGGUGGGUGUCCUCGAGGCGACGAAGCUCUCCUUCGGUGGCUCAGAUCGGAGACGUCUCCUUCGGUGUCUCUUAUCGGCGACGGAGCUCUCCUUCUGAGGCUCUAAUCGGUGACGUCUUAAUUGAAAGUUUGUAGGUACUCUUCGAACCGGUAUCUCGGUGGGACUUCUCGUUGAAGCUUUCUCUCGGUGGCUCACCUCAAAUCGAAAGGAGUACGAAGAGGAGUACAUUUGGUGGUAGGCCGAGAAGCAAGAGGAGUACAUUUGGUGGAGCAAAACAGGGUGGAGGAUCAAGCUGAAGAUCGAGUAAAGGUUCAAUUGUUCAGAGGAUCAACUUAAACACACUGCACAAAUUAGGUUGGUGUUACUCUCUCUACAGAACGAGAAACAGAUAUCGGAAAUAUAAUGGAUGCUGAAACUAGCAUUCGUGAUAGUCAAAUGCAUGAACAACUAAAAGCUGAUUUGGUCGAACAUGUAUGGGAUAAAUGGGGACAUGAGUAUCCCAACAACUGAGCUCAUAUGUUUCUUUCAAAUUUCCCACCUUUAAUUUACUAAUCUUUGUUUUAAUGUGGUUUAUCUAUGUUUAAAAUAUUUUUCUUUAAUAUGUUCUAAUUAAUAAAUAUUUUCUUUUUGAAAAAAUCAUUUAAUUUUUUUUUUUAAUGUUAAGAACUAUAAAUUAAGAAUCUUGCAUUGGAGCUGGAAAAUUAAGUGUCUCUUAACUACAACCUCUUAAUCAUCAUUAAUUACUAAAAAAUUGUUAAGAGUCACAUUUUAACUCUUAGGGUUAAUCAUGCUCUUAGGAAUCGUUGUGACAAGUUAAGAUAAAUUAAUAAAUUAUAUCUUAACUAUAAGAUUUAAAACAACAGGGAUAAAAAGGUUCUUUGUUUAUAACAAUAUAAUUAAAUAUAUUUAUUCAGAAUUUAUAACUAUAAACUGGAGGCUAGCUACCCAUAAGAAAAUGAUUAGGAUUGGACUCACGUUAAUUUUUUUUUAAACUAUACUCACGUUAAAUAUUUAAUUAUCAGCAAAAAUCUGUUGAUUUCAACUAAUUGUAACAUCACCAAACAUAAAGAUGAUAUCAAACAAAAUUAGACCGGCGUCAGCGGCCGAUUGUCACUCAUCACAACAUGCGUUGGUGUGGUUAAUUAAGAAGACCUCAAAUGUAUAUAGAAUUUUUCUUUUAAUUUAAAGUUUGAUCAUUCAUCUUAAGAUAACUCAAUUCUAGGUUUUAAUCUAAAAAGUUACUGGGAACAUAUAGUUCGAAAACUAUUUAAUCGCGGAUAAGAUUCAUAAUGCUAUUUGAAAUAUUUACAAUCUUAUAAGAUAUAACCACGUAUAAAUAGCCAAACAUGGAUUCAUCGUCCAUGCAGCAUUAUUUAUGAGAUAAUAGACUUUUUUCUAAGUAUCGCCAGCAUCAUGCAUUAUUGGGAAGAGCAUAUUCUCCACGCUAAUCUAAUCUUGCGCUCGUUAUUGCUCAUCUGUAUUGGAUGUUAAUGGGGGCAGUUUUGCGUGUGACCACUAAAAUUGCAAUUUUUAAAACAAUUCAUAAACUAGUUAGAAGAAAUAUAUGAUGCAUGAUAACUACAUUUACAUUGAAUAUGUAUAUUGGAAAACACAUUCAACGUUGUGUAUACCAACACGUAUUAGUAUAAACUAGUACAAUACCUCUUUUGUUUGAGCAAAUUAUUGGUUAGUUUUUUCGUUGGUUAGAUAGUUAUUUAAUUAAUUGGUUCACAAAAAAACAAUUGAUAUGUUUUUAUUGUAUUUCUUUGUAAUUU
Long non-coding RNA from Raphanus sativus (radish), 1970 nucleotides. RefSeq lists it as uncharacterized. The record is from RefSeq and is a predicted model, not a curated record. The transcript has 4 exons. NCBI's taxonomy places the organism in Eukaryota, Viridiplantae, Streptophyta, Magnoliopsida, Brassicales, Brassicaceae.